This 326-nucleotide ribosomal RNA is filed under the name uncultured eukaryote. RNAcentral describes it as "partial 18S ribosomal RNA". It matches the Rfam family "Eukaryotic small subunit ribosomal RNA", at positions 1470 to 1796 of the family's 1831-position model. The record is from RNAcentral.
CCCUUAGAUGUUCUGGGCCGCACGCGCGCUACACUGAUGCAUUCAACGAGUCUAAAACCUGCUCUGAUAGGGGUGGGUAAUCUUUUGAAUGUGCAUCGUGAUUGGGAUAGAUGAUUGCAAUUUUUCAUCUUCAACGAGGAAUGCCUAGUAAACGCAAGUCAUCAGCUUGCAUUGAUUACGUCCCUGCCCUUUGUACACACCGCCCGUCGCUCCUACCGGUUGAGUGAUCCGGUGAAUAAUUCGGACUGCAGCACUGCUUGGUCUCCAGGCUUUGCAGCGGAAAGUUUAGUGAACCUUAUCACUUAGAGGAAGGAGAAGUCGUAACA